AUGAACGCUGGCGGCGUGCCUAAUACAUGCAAGUCGAGCGAACAGAUGAGGAGCUUGCUCCUCUGACGUUAGCGGCGGCCGGGUGAGUAACACGUGGAUAACCUACCUAUAAGCCUGGGAUAACUUCGGGAAACCGGAGCUAAUACCGGAUAAUAUAUUGAACCGCAUGGUUCAAUAGUGAAAGACGGUUUUGCUGUCACUUAUAGAUGGAUCCGCGCCGCAUUAGCUAGUUGGUAAGGUAACGGCUUACCAAGGCAACGAUGCGUAGCCGACCUGAGAGGGUGAUCGGCCACACUGGAACUGAGACACGGUCCAGACUCCUACGGGAGGCAGCAGUAGGGAAUCUUCCGCAAUGGGCGAAAGCCUGACGGAGCAACGCCGCGUGAGUGAUGAAGGUCUUCGGAUCGUAAAACUCUGUUAUUAGGGAAGAACAAAUGUGUAAGUAACUAUGCACGUCUUGACGGUACCUAAUCAGAAAGCCACGGCUAACUACGUG
RNAcentral lists this ribosomal RNA (496 nucleotides) under uncultured bacterium. Its description in RNAcentral is "partial 16S ribosomal RNA". It matches the Rfam family "Bacterial small subunit ribosomal RNA", at positions 29 to 507 of the family's 1533-position model. The record is from RNAcentral.